This 330-nucleotide unclassified non-coding RNA is filed under the name plant metagenome. Its description in RNAcentral is "partial contains 5.8S ribosomal RNA, internal transcribed spacer 2, and large subunit ribosomal RNA". The stretch from base 1 to 106 matches the Rfam family "5.8S ribosomal RNA", at positions 50 to 154 of the family's 154-position model. The record is from RNAcentral.
GAAAUGCGAUAAGUAAUGUGAAUUGCAGAAUUCCGUGAAUCAUCGAAUCUUUGAACGCACAUUGCGCCCUCUGGUAUUCCGGGGGGGCAUGCCUGUCCGAGCGUCAUUGCGAACCCCUCAAGCACGGCUUGUGUGAUGGGCCCUCCCGCGUCUUGGUCGUCAAGACGGGCCCGAAAUGCAGUGGCGGCUUCGCGGUUAUCCGAUCAGCCAGAGCGUAUGGGGACUCUCUCUCUUGUCACACGCCCGCGGCGCGGACCGACGCCUGUCGACCUUUAUUCAUCUUCUCUCGGUUGACCUCGGAUCAGGUAGGUAUACCCGCUGAACUUAAGC